AGGUUCCCAGGCUAGGGGUCUAAUCAGAGCUACAGCUGCAAGCCUACCCACAGUCAUAGCAAUGCCAGAUCCGAGCAGCAUCUGUGACCUACACCACAGCUCAUGGCAAUGCCGGAUCCUUAACCCACUGAGCAAGGCCAGGAAUCGAACCUGCAACUUCAGGGUUCCUAGAAAGUGACCAACAGGUACUAGCUAUCAAGUUAAUUAUUGACCUUCUGUGAGUGCCACUUUACUUGUCUAAAAAUAGAAUAGUAUUCCCUGACUAAAUUUCUAACACACAAAAUCUUCUCGAACUAAAACACGCAGCAUAGCAAGGACUAACCUUCUUAAUUAACAGUAUACAAGUUUAAUGGGAUGCUAAUGGAAAAACUACUGAAGUGAGGAAUUUUGUUUUCAAAUAACCAAAAUAUAGAAGGAAAGCUUAUGAUUGAUAUGAAUUCAGGUGUAUCUCUAUGGGAUAUUUUGCAUUUCACAGCUGUUUCAUCAGGUUAGCAUCAAUCACAUUCUUUGUCUUUGUUCUUUAUUAUUUCUCUGAGUUUGUUGUAGGUAUUUUGAAUAAAGCUGAAUUUUCACAUUUAGUUUGUACAAAAAUAAAUAUGAAGGCAUAGGGGGAUUAUUUUCUAAUUGAUUACCUUAAAACUGGAGAAAAUAUCAAAAGUUUACCAAACAAAUUCUUUUGGACCAAAGGUGAUGAGUUUCUAUAAAAAUAAAUAAUGAUUUUCAAGAUCAUUCAGGAUGUUCCACUAAUAAAAUGUAUCAGAACUUAAUUAUAGACUGAUUAAUGAAUCUAAUUAUAGCUUUGAUUUCACAGCUAUAUGAAAAGUGAAAGAUCUAGUCAUCCAGAUGUUUUCAAAUAUUUAUUAUCAUGUAAGGAAAACAUCUGGAUGAGAAAGAUUUUGUUCUUGUUGUUGCAGUUGUUGUCUUUACUUUUCCUCCAAAUAUUUUAGCAUGUUAUAGAGAUACUCCAGAUAUCAAUCAAAAUAGGCAUAGUACAGAAAGAUCAUUAUUGUCUUUACUGGGUGUUAAAAAUCUUUAGCCUAUUGAUUUAUACAAAUGAAGAUACAGAAUGAAUAUUUAAUCUCAAUAGACUGAUAAAAGCAUCAUAAAUAUUAUUACCUCAUGAAAUUUCAUUAUAUAAAACACUAUGUUUUUUAAAAAUUCUAGAAGUUUAUUAUCAGAGGUUCAGCAGAAUGCGAUCUGCUCUGCCUUAUAGCUUUAUACUUGUGAUCUCAUGUAGGUUAUACCUAUCAUUAGGUGGAAAAUUGCUUCUAUCCUUUAAUUUGAAUUUUGAUGACCUACAUUGCUAAAUAUACAUAUUUUAAUAAUAUUAGAAAGAACACCUUUGCAUAUUUGGCCUUCAAUAGUCCAGAUAGAAUAAUACAAGCUGUUUCUACCUCUGUAGCUAUCCUUGCUCCAUCUUUUUUGUCACUAAAUUUGAUUUUAUAAUUAGAGACUAGUAAAGAGGAGGGUUUGGUUUUUGCUUAUUGUGUUUUUUAAGUUUUGAAAACAAAACUGUCACUUCUGUUUCUCCAUCUACUGCUCUUUUGGUAGUUUAAAAUUGGAAUAAAAGAAAUUAAUAAAAUACCUUAAACUUUCUUCUGAUGUUAUUAACCCAAAUAGUGUUUAGUGAGCCCAUAUACUGGCUGAUAGAAAAUAUUUUUAUCCCAGUAUAUGUUGUUAAGGCACUGGUGGUUCAGUGGUAGAAUUCUUGCCUCCCAGUAGAUGUUGUUAUAAAUUAUAUUGGAAAGGUGGGAACAUAUCUUAUUCAAGAAGUGCCCUUCCAGUUUUGAGGAUAUGGGAAUCCUUUAUUUUCUUCUUCUUUAGAAAUUAAAUUUAAUUUACAAGAUAUAACUUUGGGUAAAGUACUCGAGUUAAAAGUUACAUAUUCCAAAUUAUUCAUCUUAAAUGCAAACUCACUGGGUAAGCCUUCAGAGUCUGUCCAGUGUUUUGAGUAUGACUGUAGUGAUGGUCAAAAUACUAAAGCCAACCUUGAAACAGUGAAAUUUUGGGCAUUAUCUGGCCAGAGAAUGAAGGUGAUUUAUUAACCAUUCCUGUAACUCUUUAUUUUAUACACUUCAAAAAUUAUAAAUAAUAUCUGAAUUUUAAACUAACCAAGAUAUUAGGAAAAUAAACAAGAGGUUCAUAUUUCAAGGUAUAUUUAUUCAAAUGGAAUAAUCAUAUUAGAAAUAAACCAAAGAAAAAUUACUGGACCCACUCUUUAUGUCCCUGAAAUCCAAGGUGAUAUAUAGAUUCAGAGAAAAUUCCUUUAAGCCCUGACUCUUGUAAGGAUGGUCAUAUCGGUCCACAUCCUUUAGUUGCCUAUCCUUAAUUAGCAGAGCUGUCCAAACUGUUUUCAUAUAAAUCUCUGGAGAAAAAUGGAAUGUAAACUCUUUCCCCUAUUGUUAAUGCUUGUUUUAUAGAUGAUGGAGUAUGAAAUGAUUGAUCAUGUACUAUAAUGAUGGAUAAGGACAAUUUCUGGAAAGGUCAAACCUAUUAAAUAAAUCUUAGAAUAUAUUUAAAAACAUCGUAUCUGCCUCACUGGAGCAUGGUAACUCUUUUCAAUGACAGGUGGCCUUCACAUCAGAGCAGUAACAUCAGUGCCAAACAAUAGACAUUCAUACUCCACUAAAAGUGGUGGAGAAAAGAAGUGAGGAUUGUGAAAUAACCACUGCUAAAAUAAGAGCUUAUCUUGAAUAGAACAACAUAAAGACCUUGACUACAGCUUCAUAAUCCUGGAACAGCCUAAUGAAAAGCAAUGUGAAACAAACAAAACAAAACAAAUAAAGGAACAACAAAUAAUAAUCCCUUUAAACAGCCAGAUAUUUUUGGACACGUAACAUACAAAUACUGCAAAAAAAAAUUUUUCCGUGGCUGCAAAAAAAAAAAAAAAAAAAAAAAAUAUGCUAGUCCCUAAAAAAUGAAAGAAAACACAACAUUCCUAUCGAAUUUGCAUUUUUUUUCCAUGAUGUACUCAAAAGCUUUGUUUCUAUCAGCUUAGACGUUUAGAAAAAAUUUCCCCUAUAUUUAACAGAAUUAUAGAAGCAUAUAACUGGAAGGAACCUCAGUGAUCAUCUCCAAAACACAGUGCAUACUUUUAAAAAAAUCUCAUUUUUAUUCUGUCAUACAACAAAUUAACCAUUACACCCACCUUCAUUUAUAAUUCAGAUAUGAUUUUCUUAUCUUUAAAUUAUUUGUAAAAGAUAAUAUUUGGGUAGUAUUCCAUCACAUGCAUUCAUCAACCUAAUAUUAAUCUAUUUAGCAAUCCUCUUUAGGAUCUAUUCCCAAAUUCCAAUUGUUUUUUAUAGUUGCUUGAAUAGGCUAAAAUCAUUCAUAUUGUAUUUGCUGCCUAGAAUUUCCUAUAAAACUUAAUAUCCCUGGAAAAUUUCUUUUGAUUCUUUAUAAAUUAACCCAAGCAUGAAGUCUUUCUAGCCUUCCCCUGCUAGGGUUAGGUUGUCUCUCAGGCUGUCACAAUGCUGCAUUAUACAUGCCUCUUUUAUAGGAUUGUGUUAGAAAAUCCUAAGUCUUUUUCUUCCCCUGUAUGUCUUCUUUAUUCUCACACUACUAUCACACGUGCAAUAUUCUAACACCAGAUGUGUAGGUGGUGAGGUUUCUUACACCAAGCAAUUCUCUGUGACUUCAGCUGGGUGUCCUACAGUUUAACUCAAUUCUGACACUAUCUACCUGGCAAGAGAAUCAGAUCCCAUAGUUUAAAAGCUCAGUCCCAAGGGACAGUUCCUACCCCAGUUCAGAUGCCAAUAUCAAGUCCAGGUUUCUGACCAGUUGACUGUAAUUCUGACCAAUAGACUAUAAGCUGGGGUUCCCAUGAUCCCUUCUGUUAUUAGUUGCCCAGAGCUUUAAUCUGCUACGCUAGUAUUUUCACCUUCUCAAAGGUGGCCAGCUGUUCUGAUUCCUAGUCCCACACCUGAUAAAAAGAGUGUCCUCUCUUUACCAGGUGCUAUAGGGGAUGAAAGCACUGUUCCAACUGGGGAAUAAAAGUCCUCUAAAAUACCAAAUCCCUACUCCUUUCACAUUGGAUAGGCUUGCACCUUAUCGAUCACAGACUCUGGGACAACUUGACCCAAUCUGACCAAACUGCCCAAAACUUUAGGUCAAUGCCUUCACUUUGAAUUUUCUGUGAGUUCACUGCCCAUCCUCUGCUCUAAUAUGAAACUUCUAAUUGUUUCCAAAAACCCUCACAUGGAGGAAAUCUUGGGAUUCAUCUAUAGCAAGGGCAGGAGAGCCCAAUCAAAUAAGACUGUAUCCCUGAGGCCUCUGCUAGAGCAGAUGAGACAUCAGAGACGGUAGGAGAAGGUAGGGCAUCACAGAUGGUAGAGGUUGGGGCAGGCAGAAUCAUGGUUCAAGUUUUCAGGCUUUCCCCAGGACCAUCAAGAGAGCUUUGGGUCUAAAUAUUUGGGUCCAAUGUUUAGAAGGAGUUCCAAAAGCAAUGAGGUCAGACCACAUUUGCCUCCAGGUUGCUUUCUUUAUGGGCUUUGGCUUUCUAGCUCCCUCUCUGUUUGGAGUCUUUCCCACAGUCCACACACAUUCUGCAAUAGAACUGCCCAUCUUCAUACACGCCUUGUGCCAUGACUGGACGCAGCCUGGAUAUCAAUGUUCCAUACCAAGUUCUAGGGAAAACUGGAAUAUUUAGGUUUUCAUUCCUGCAGUAACUGUGACUCAAUCCGGGCCUUCAAAGAUGGGACGUAGAUGGCCUCUCUCAUUCCCAACUUCCUAAGAAUUUGUUGUACCUCCUUUACAUAUUUCCAGGGGCCCACAUGCUCAGAGAGAUCCUAAUUGGGCCACGUUUCCCUAAAGGCUAGAAUACUCCAGUCUAUAAAAUAAGUUGGUACCUUGAGACUACUGAGCACAAUGCAGGCACUGCAAGUGGGCAGGGUGUGUGGUGAUGUUGCUCAUUUUCUCUGCUUCCUGCCAGCCAGAGAAAUGCCAUCACACUCCAUAUCCCAUAGUUUCAUUUAUCAUGCCUGGAAACUUUCCAUGGCCUUUUUCUGGAACUUGACAGCCAUACCAAUAACCUCAGUGGAAGUAUAUUCUCUCAUUUAUGUUUCCUGAAGCGGGGGUUGCCUCACUGGCUUGGGUAGUUAUUGCUAUGCCAUUACUUUCCUUUGUAUCAGGGAUUGAACAGCAUGCACUUGGUCCAUGUCACAGUCAAUCACCACAACAUCUUCACUCUCCUCACUUUCCCAAGGAUUCCACCUCUUGGGGUCCCAAUCAGGCUUUGUCACCACACUUGGACCUUAAU
RNAcentral lists this long non-coding RNA (5257 nucleotides) under Sus scrofa (pig). RNAcentral describes it as "lncRNA (ENSSSCG00065010926.1)". Lineage: Eukaryota; Metazoa; Chordata; Mammalia; Artiodactyla; Suidae. The record is from RNAcentral.